RNAcentral lists this ribosomal RNA (353 nucleotides) under uncultured bacterium. RNAcentral describes it as "bacterial SSU rRNA". It matches the Rfam family "Bacterial small subunit ribosomal RNA", at positions 8 to 350 of the family's 1533-position model. The record is from RNAcentral.
AGAGUUUGAUCCUGGCUCAGGAUGAACGCUAGCUACAGGCUUAACACAUGCAAGUCGAGGGGAAACGACAUCGAAAGCUUGCUUUUGAUGGGCGUCGACCGGCGCACGGGUGAGUAACGCGUAUCCAACCUGCCCACCACUUGGGGAUAACCUUGCGAAGGUAAGACUAAUACCCAAUGACGUCUCUAGAAGACAUCUGAAAGAGAUUAAAGAUUUAUCGGUGAUGGAUGGGGAUGCGUCUGAUUAGCUUGUUGGCGGGGUAACGGCCACAAGGCGACGAUCAGUAGGGGUUCUGAGAGGAACGGUCCCCCANAUUGGAACUGAGACACGGUCCAAACUCCGUACGGGAGGCA